Molecule: long non-coding RNA, 1547 nt
Organism: Hemiscyllium ocellatum (epaulette shark)
Lineage: Eukaryota; Metazoa; Chordata; Chondrichthyes; Orectolobiformes; Hemiscylliidae
Exons: 7
Source: RefSeq, a predicted model, not a curated record
AUUUACUCAGUGAGUGCAAGAGGUUUGUUUGAAACAGACCGCAAUGGAGAGAUCAGCGUCCAAGGAAGCGAGGGAACAGCAGGCUCCUUCCAGCAGUACAUCGGGAUGGGAGCCUGGGACACAGAGGGGGCUCCGAGACCGGGAUUGAUUCGGGCCGAAAAAUCUUCUGUCUUCUGCCAAGAAAAUAUUUGAAUGACGAAGACAAUGUCAUAUUUCCUCAGCACAAAGCCAAGUGUGACCAGCUGCUUCUAACAAACAGCAGGGAAAUACUUGAAGGACCAAGACAAUGUAAUUUUCCCUCGGUACAGAGCCAAGGGUGACCAGUUCCUUCUAACAAACAACAGAUAUGUUACUGCUAUCAGAGUGAAGAAUAUAAUUUCAACAGUCAGAGCGGAUUGGGUCAGCUACACGUUGAGCUCAAUUUGAGAGAAAGAAAAACAACAGAGAAAAAAAAGAGCGGGAGCAGUAGGGGAAGUGACGGCUACCAGAGGGGCAGCCGGGAAGGAAAGCAGUGAGUAUAUAAAUCAGGAAGGCAGCUAAACCCGAGAUUCUACACUGUUUUUUUAAGGCAAAUGAUUGAUGGACCAAGAUAAUGUAAUAUUUCCUCAGUGCAAAGCCAAGUGAACAGCUGCUUCUAACAACUGGCAGACAAUUACAUGAAGGAGCAAAACAAUGUAACAUUCUCUCGGUACGAAGCCAAGUGUGAUCAGUUCCUUCUAACAAACAGCAGGGUAUUCGAAGAAGAUGAUUUGCAAUGAGGAAACUUAAAACCAGGCAUCACUUCCCAAUCUGCUGAGUUUAUUGUCAUCUGACUAUCAUUGGGUUUUGCAGGAAAAAAGCACCCUUCACAAUGGGGGAGAAACUGUAUGUGUUGUACAUGUGGACAAGUCUUCAGCAGAUCAUCUGCCCUGUCACAAUAUAAAUACAGCCACACUGGGGAAAGGCCACUCAUCUGUUCCAAAGGAUUCACUCAAUCAUCCACCCUGCUGAAACCCCAGCAAGUUAACAGAGAGAACAGACCUUUGAAAUUCUCAGAAUGUGGGAGGUGCUUUAAAAAUUCUGGGGCAUUGAUAUCCCAACAACAUCCUCACUGUAAUGAGAGACCCUUCAUGUUCUCUCACGGUGGUGUGGGUUCAAACCAUCACCCAACCUCAUUAAACACCAGCAGAUCCACACUGGAGAGAGACCGUUCACUUGCUCACACGACAGGAAAGGAUUUUCUCAUAAAACACCAGCGAUCUCUCGGAAGUUAGAGGCUGUUCUGCUGCACUGACUGUUGGACGAGAUUCAUUGUGAAAUCCAAGCUGAAACACCAGCAUAUUAAUUAGAAAAUUCAGAGCCUUUUUUUAAAUGUGAACAUCUCCCUGCUUCAUAGUCCCACCUGAUGUGUAGCUAUGUCAAAGAACUUAAUUAUUUUUGUAAUUGAUAACUGAAUGAUAUCCACUGGGGCAGGUUUCUGCUGAACAUAAUAUACUCCAGCUUAGUUAAAGGGAUGACUUAGUUAAAGGGAAUGAGAGUAAAAUAAAUUCACUUUGUAUUAAACACAA